CGCUUUUUGGUUUUUAUAAAAAGUAAAACCUGCCCAAUGAAGAUUUAAUGGCCGCGGUAAUUUGACCGUGCGAAGGUAGCAUAAUCAUUAGUCUAUUAAUUGUAGACUGGAAUGAAAGGUUAAAAUGGAUAAGAUCUGUCUCUUUUAUAAAAAUGAAGUUUAAGUUUUUGUGAAGAUGCAAAAAUUAUAUUAAAAGACGAGAAGACCCUAUUAAGCUUUAUAAAAUUUUUAUUUAGAAAGGUUAGUAAUAAAUGUUUUAUUUGGUUGGGGCGACAAUAAAGAAUAUAUAACCUUUAAAUUAAAAAAUAAAUUAAAUAGAAUUUUGAUCCACAAGAUGUGAUUAUAAGAACAAGUUACUAUAGGGAUAACAGCGUAAUUUUAUUAGAGAGUUCAAAUUGAUGAUAAAGAUUGCGACCUCGAUGUUGAAUUAGGAUACCUUAAGGGUGCAGAAGUUUUUAAAGGUAGACUGUUCGUCUAUAAAAUUCCUACA
This 490-nucleotide ribosomal RNA is filed under the name Anopsobius giribeti. RNAcentral describes it as "partial 16S ribosomal RNA". It matches the Rfam family "Bacterial large subunit ribosomal RNA", at positions 1831 to 2600 of the family's 2925-position model. The record is from RNAcentral. Lineage: Eukaryota; Metazoa; Arthropoda; Chilopoda; Lithobiomorpha; Henicopidae.